Molecule: ribosomal RNA, 500 nt
Filed under: uncultured bacterium
Lineage: Bacteria
Description: SSU rRNA
Rfam family: Bacterial small subunit ribosomal RNA
Source: RNAcentral
CCCUUAGAGUUUGAUCCUGGCUCAGGACGAACGCUGGCGGCGUGCCUAACACAUGCAAGUCGAACGGAGAUUUUAGCAAUAAAAUCUUAGUGGCGAACGGGUGAGUAACGCGUAGACAACCUACCUUCUAGAUGGGGACAACACUGCGAAAGUGGUGCUAAUACCGAAUGUUGUAUUUUGAAUGCAUAUUUGAAAUACUAAAGGUGGCCUCUAUUUAUAAGCUACCACUAGAAGAUGGGUCUGCGUCUGAUUAGCUAGUUGGUGAGGUAAUGGCUCACCAAGGCGACGAUCAGUAGCCGGUCUGAGAGGAUGAACGGCCACACUGGGACUGAGACACGGCCCAGACUCCUACGGGAGGCAGCAGUGGGGAAUCUUCCGCAAUGGACGAAAGUCUGACGGAGCAACGCCGCGUGAGUGAAGAAGGUUUUCGGAUCGUAAAACUCUGUUUUCAGGGACGAAUGUGCUAUUUGUGAAUAAUGAGUAGUAAUGACGGUACCUGA